UUUUCCCCCUUAUUCCACAUAUUUACAAGGACAUACAGCUGCUUACAAUAAAGACUGAAUUUUUCAGCUGUGCUACUGUAUGCAUCUUCUGGAAAGUAUUUUCUAAGGAGGGGGCAUAUCCUACGUUUUCUCUUCCAUUCAGACAUUGUGACUGGAGCAAAAGAAGCCAUUUUGAAACAUCAGCACCAGUGUGUGUCUUCCUGAGUGAACGACCUGUAAACUUCCUGAAUAUUAUCUAGCUGAUGGGAUUCCAAAUGCUGAAAAAAAAUGACAGAACCAAAGACAGAAGCAGCAAGAGCCAUCACUUCAAAAUUCUUUUCUACCUCUUUUUAGUCUAGUCUAGUCUAGUAU
This 351-nucleotide long non-coding RNA is filed under the name Equus asinus (donkey). RNAcentral's name for it is "lncRNA (ENSEASG00005033758.1)". Lineage: Eukaryota; Metazoa; Chordata; Mammalia; Perissodactyla; Equidae. The record is from RNAcentral.